This 71-nucleotide transfer RNA is filed under the name Acropora cervicornis. RNAcentral's name for it is "tRNA-Leu". It matches the Rfam family "tRNA". From Rfam's summary of the family: Transfer RNA (tRNA) molecules are approximately 80 nucleotides in length. Their secondary structure includes four short double-helical elements and three loops (D, anti-codon, and T loops). The record is from RNAcentral. Lineage: Eukaryota; Metazoa; Cnidaria; Anthozoa; Scleractinia; Acroporidae.
ACCCCCGUGGCGCAAUGGACUAGCGAGUUGGACUAAUUCAAAAGUUUUGGGUUUGAGUCCCACCGGGGGUG